This 590-nucleotide ribosomal RNA is filed under the name uncultured bacterium. RNAcentral describes it as "partial 16S ribosomal RNA". It matches the Rfam family "Bacterial small subunit ribosomal RNA", at positions 355 to 1375 of the family's 1533-position model. The record is from RNAcentral.
UGGGGAAUUUUGGACAAUGGGCGAAAGCCUGAUCCAGCAAUGCCGCGUGUGUGAAGAAGGCCUUCGGGUUGUAAAGCACUUUUGUCCGGAAAAAAUCCUCUGGGUUAAUACCUCGGGGGGAUGACGGUACCGGAAGAAUAAGCACCGGCUAACUACGUGCCAGCAGCCGCGGUAAUACGUAGGGUGCAAGCGUUAAUCGGAAUUACUGGGCGUAAAGCGUGCGCAGGCGGUUUUGUAAGACGGAUGUGAAAUCCCCGGGCUUAACCUGGGAACUGCAUUCGUGACUGCAAGGCUAGAGUAUGGCAGAGGGGGGUAGAAUUCCACGUGUAGCAGUGAAAUGCGUAGAGAUGUGGAGGAAUACCGAUGGCGAAGGCAGCCCCCUGGGCCAAUACUGACGCUCAUGCACGAAAGCGUGGGGAGCAAACAGGAUUAGAUACCCUGGUAGUCCACGCCCUAAACGAUGUCAACUAGUUGUUGGGGAUUCAUUUCCUUAGUAACGUAGCUAACGCGUGAAGUUGACCUUUUUUGCCUGGGGAGUACGGUCGCAAGAUUAAAACUCAAAGGAAUUGACGGGGUCAUAGCUGUUUCCU